CGUUACAGGUUCUCGGUGUGCUUCUGCCAAAACCCAAAUUUUCUAUGGUUGACCUCGGAUCAGGUAGGGAUACCCGCUGAACUUAAGCAUAUCAAUAAGCGGAGGAAAG
RNAcentral lists this ribosomal RNA (109 nucleotides) under Monilinia laxa. RNAcentral's name for it is "partial 28S ribosomal RNA". The stretch from base 50 to 109 matches the Rfam family "Eukaryotic large subunit ribosomal RNA", at positions 1 to 60 of the family's 3401-position model. Lineage: Eukaryota; Fungi; Ascomycota; Leotiomycetes; Helotiales; Sclerotiniaceae. The record is from RNAcentral.